UACGUAGGGGGCAAGCGUUGUCCGGAUUUAUUGGGCGUAAAGAGCGUGUAGGCGGUCUGGUAGGUCCGUUGUGAAAACUCGAGGCUCAACCUCGAGACGCCGAUGGAAACCAUCAGACUAGAGUCCGGAAGAGGAGAGUGGAAUUCCUGGUGUAGCGGUGAAAUGCGCAGAUAUCAGGAAGAACACCCCGUGGCUAAGGCGGCUCUCUAGUACGGUACUGACGCUGAGACGCGAAAAGCGUGGGGGAGCGAACAGG
This 256-nucleotide ribosomal RNA is filed under the name uncultured bacterium. RNAcentral describes it as "partial 16S ribosomal RNA". It matches the Rfam family "Bacterial small subunit ribosomal RNA", at positions 524 to 776 of the family's 1533-position model. The record is from RNAcentral.